RNAcentral lists this ribosomal RNA (466 nucleotides) under uncultured bacterium. RNAcentral's name for it is "partial 16S ribosomal RNA". It matches the Rfam family "Bacterial small subunit ribosomal RNA", at positions 28 to 507 of the family's 1533-position model. The record is from RNAcentral.
GAUGAACGCUGGCGGCGUGCUUAACGCAUGCAAGUCGAACGAUGAAGCCCAGCUUGCUGGGUGGAUUAGUGGCGAACGGGUGAGUAACACGUGAGUAACCUGCCCUUAACUCUGGGAUAAGCCUGGGAAACUGGGUCUAAUACCGGAUAGGAGCGUCGACCGCAUGGUGGGUGUUGGAAAGAUUUAUCGGUUUUGGAUGGACUCGCGGCCUAUCAGCUUGUUGGUGAGGUAAUGGCUCACCAAGGCGACGACGGGUAGCCGGCCUGAGAGGGUGACCGGCCACACUGGGACUGAGACACGGCCCAGACUCCUACGGGAGGCAGCAGUGGGGAAUAUUGCACAAUGGGCGCAAGCCUGAUGCAGCGACGCCGCGUGAGGGAUGACGGCCUUCGGGUUGUAAACCUCUUUCAGUAGGGAAGAAGCGAAAGUGACGGUACCUGCAGAAGAAGCACCGGCUAACUACGUG